Manis pentadactyla (Chinese pangolin) is the source of this 893-nucleotide long non-coding RNA. RefSeq lists it as uncharacterized. Lineage: Eukaryota; Metazoa; Chordata; Mammalia; Pholidota; Manidae. The transcript has 4 exons. The record is from RefSeq and is a predicted model, not a curated record.
UGGGGAGCGGCCGAAGAUAAAACUUCCGUCGAACCAGAGAAAAAAGCACUUCCGGUCACACCAUCGUCGCGUAGCCGCCUUCUUCGCGAAGUUUUUUAGAAGUAUUUUGCCUCAGGAUUUCCUCUCACCUGACUGACAAUAAGGAAUUUCCUGCCUUGAUUUCUCUCUGGGACAUCAGCACCUUGGUCCGGGAGCACAUCAAUAGGCUGCCUGCCCAGCCCCUAAGGCAGCCAUUUUCUCUUUCAGAUAACAAAAUCUCUUGCGUGGGCCCAUGUCUCCUGAGUUGUUCUGGGGUAAGGAAGAUCACGGCAAUAUACCCUUUCAUUGGUGCGGUGACUUCAGGUGAGGUUCUCCCAUUGACUUUGCUCUUCUCCUGGGAAUCUGAGCUGCUUUGGGAACCCUCACUGGCCAGUCCUCCUCCACGGGCUCACCAUCCAUUUCCCCGGUCACUCGUCUUCUCGCCCAACACCGACAUGCAAUUUGGGCUAUCAAGGCCUUCUCACGAAGAAUAACGAAACCAGCUAGAUGACAUCACGAAUCAUCUCAGGAUGCCUGCCCUUCCCCAACUCUACAGCAAGGGCCUUGCUAAUCCCAGAAUGUGUGCCCCCUUCCAGCAGGAAGUAUCUAGAGAAUGAGAUUCUAUGCCCAGUUCCCCAGAGGCCCAAUUAAGAAAAGAAAAAGAUGGGAAUGAAGGCAAAUUCUUUCAUGCUAAGACGCCCACCUCUUAAGAUCCAAUCACCACUGACCAGAUCGUCGCCCACCCCUUAAUAUCCAAUCACCGGUGCAGAACACACCCUACCCCUACUCCUUAAAAACAUGCUUCCUCACCCACGAGCUGCUGUUCCCUCUCUCUGGGGACAGCCAUUUUCUCCUUCAGAUAAUAAAAUCUUUUG